RNAcentral lists this ribosomal RNA (761 nucleotides) under uncultured bacterium. RNAcentral describes it as "bacterial SSU rRNA". The stretch from base 2 to 659 matches the Rfam family "Bacterial small subunit ribosomal RNA", at positions 9 to 873 of the family's 1533-position model. The record is from RNAcentral.
AGAGUUUGAUCCUGGCUCAGGACGAACGCUGGCGGCGUGCUUAACACAUGCAAGUGGAGCGACGAACCAGGCUUCGGCCUGGGGCAGAGCCGCGAACGGGUGAGUAACACGUGGGUAACCUGCCCCGAUGAUCGGGACAACCCGGGGAAACCCGGGCCAAUACCGAAUGUGCCCCUCGUCCUCAAGGACGGCGGACAAAGGAAGCCUCGGCCUCCGCAUCGGGAUGGGCCCGCGGCCCAUUAGCUUGUUGGUGUGGUAACGGCUCACCAAGGCAACGAUGGGUAGCUGGUCUGAGAGGACGAUCAGCCACACUGGGACCGAGACACGGCCCAGACUCCUACGGGAGGCAGCAGUGGGGAAUCUUGCGCAAUGCGCGAAAGCGUGACGCAGCAACGCCGCGUGGGGGAAGACGGCCUUCGGGUUGUAAACCCCCUUUCAGGAGGGACGAAGGUCGGGGCGGUGAAUANCCCGUUCCCCGCUGACGGUACCUCCACCAAGAAGCCCCGGGCUAACUACGUGCCAGCAGCCCGCGGUAAUACGUAAGGGGGCUAACGUNGUNCGGAAUCAUUGGGGCGUUAAAGAGCGUGUUANGGCGGUUCGGGGUAAGGUCGGUUUGUUGGAAACUUUAAGGGGGCUUCAACCAAUUUGGAAAUUUCCCCGGCCGGGAAUUCUUGGCCCGGGGCCUUUGAAAUUUCGGGGAACAAAAGGGCNAAUUGGGAAAUUUCCCCCGGNUGUAGUUAUANUUCCCAAUUUUGGGAGAA